GAAAUGCGAUAAUUAAUGUGAAUUGCAGAAUUCAGUGAAUCAUCGAGUCUUUGAACGCACAUUGCGCCCCCUGGUAUUCCGGGGGGCAUGCCUGUCCGAGCGUCAUUGCUGCCCUCAAGCACGGCUUGUGUGUUGGGCUUCCGUCCCUGGCAACGGGGACGGGCCCAAAAGGCAGUUGCGGCACCAUGUCUGGUCCUCGAGCGUAUGGGGCUUUGUCACCCGCUCCCGUAGGUCCAGCUGGCAGCUAGCCUCGCAACCAAUCUUUUUAACCAGGUUGACCUCGGAUCAGGUAGGGAUACCCGCUGAACUUAAGC
Molecule: unclassified non-coding RNA, 314 nt
Filed under: plant metagenome
Description: partial contains 5.8S ribosomal RNA, internal transcribed spacer 2, and large subunit ribosomal RNA
Rfam family: 5.8S ribosomal RNA (bases 1-105)
Source: RNAcentral